Molecule: transfer RNA, 73 nt
Filed under: Stegodyphus mimosarum
Lineage: Eukaryota; Metazoa; Arthropoda; Arachnida; Araneae; Eresidae
Rfam family: tRNA
About the family: Transfer RNA (tRNA) molecules are approximately 80 nucleotides in length. Their secondary structure includes four short double-helical elements and three loops (D, anti-codon, and T loops).
Source: Rfam by way of RNAcentral
GCCUUCGUGGUGUAGUGGUCAGCACGCUCGACGCGUAACCGAGAGGUCCGUGGUUCGAUUCCCGAUGAAGGCG